GUGGAAUUUCGGCAAGUUGCUAUCAAACCCAAAUUGGGAAUCAUCGUAACUGGCGGACGCCUGAAUCCUGUCGUAGUAGAUCGAAACUCUCUUGUUGGGGUUACGGAUGCUGAGAUCGAUGUCUAGAGUGUAAUCAAGGGUGUUGUUGGUGAGAUCGAAUCGUUUGAGUUGCGAUGUGGCUUCCACGUAGGACUUGACCUCAGAGGGGCGAACCACAAGGUACAAGAUCAGAGUGAUGAUACCCAAGGUGAUGAUGAUGGAAAAGAGACAGGAAAAUAGCUUGCAACACAAACCCAUGUUGGUGAAUCGAUGGUGG
RNAcentral lists this long non-coding RNA (316 nucleotides) under Zostera marina. RNAcentral's name for it is "long non-coding RNA (ZMAR_LNC005916)". Lineage: Eukaryota; Viridiplantae; Streptophyta; Magnoliopsida; Alismatales; Zosteraceae. The record is from RNAcentral.